UGAGGGUGCAAGCGUUAAUCGGAAUUACUGGGCGUAAAGCGAGUGUAGGCGGCUUCGUAAGUCGGAUGUGAAAGCCCCGGGCUCAACCUGGGAAUUGCAUUCGAUACUGCGCGGCUAGAGUCUGAUAGAGGGAAGUGGAAUUCCAGGUGUAGCGGUGAAAUGCGUAGAUAUCUGGAGGAACAUCAGUGGCGAAGGCGGCUUCCUGGAUCAAGACUGACGCUGAGGCUCGAAAGCGUGGGGAGCAAACAGGAUUAGAUACCCUGGUAGUCCCACGCCCUAAACGAUGUCAACUAGACGUUGGGCUCAUCAAGGAGCUUAGUGUCGAAGCUAACGCGUUAAGUUGACCGCCUGGGGAGUACGGCCGCAAGGCUG
Molecule: ribosomal RNA, 372 nt
Filed under: uncultured organism
Description: partial 16S ribosomal RNA
Rfam family: Bacterial small subunit ribosomal RNA
Source: RNAcentral